RNAcentral lists this transfer RNA (77 nucleotides) under Bulleidia extructa. RNAcentral's name for it is "tRNA-Met". It matches the Rfam family "tRNA". From Rfam's summary of the family: Transfer RNA (tRNA) molecules are approximately 80 nucleotides in length. Their secondary structure includes four short double-helical elements and three loops (D, anti-codon, and T loops). Further hydrogen bonds mediate the characteristic L-shaped molecular structure. tRNAs have two regions of fundamental functional importance: the anti-codon, which is responsible for specific mRNA codon recognition, and the 3' end, to which the tRNAs corresponding amino acid is attached (by aminoacyl-tRNA synthetases). tRNAs cope with the degeneracy of the genetic code in two manners: having more than one tRNA (with a specific anti-codon) for a particular amino acid; and 'wobble' base-pairing, i.e. permitting non-standard base-pairing at the 3rd anti-codon position. The record is from RNAcentral. RNAcentral also lists the same sequence under 1 other name. Lineage: Bacteria; Bacillati; Bacillota; Erysipelotrichia; Erysipelotrichales; Erysipelotrichaceae.
GGCGAGGUAGCUCAGUUGGCUAGAGCAAUCGGUUCAUACCCGGUAGGUCAUGAGUUCGAAUCUCAUCCUCGCUACCA